GACGAACGCUGGCGGCGUGCUUAACACAUGCAAGUCGAACGGAAAGGCCUCGGUCGGGGGGUACACGAGUGGCGAACGGGUGAGUAACACGUGAGUAACCUGCCCUUGACUUUGGGAUAACUUCAGGAAACUGGGGCUAAUACCGGAUAGGAGCUCCUGCUGCAUGGUGGGGGUUGGAGAGUUUCGGCGGUUGGGGAUGGACUCGCGGCUUAUCAGCGUGUUGGUGGGGGAGUGGCUUACCAAGGCUUUGAGCGGUAGCCGGCCUGAGAGUGUGACCGGCUAAGGUGGGUCCGAGAUACGGCAUAGACACCUACGUGAGGCAGAAGUGGGGAAUAUUGCACAAUGGGUAGGAGCCUGCUGCAGUAGCGCUGUGUGCGCGAAGACGGGCUUGGGGUUGCCAUUCUGUUUCCCCCAUGACGAAGCUUUGUGUGACGGUAGUGGGUAAAUAAGCACCGGCUAACUACGUG
RNAcentral lists this ribosomal RNA (467 nucleotides) under uncultured bacterium. RNAcentral describes it as "partial 16S ribosomal RNA". It matches the Rfam family "Bacterial small subunit ribosomal RNA", at positions 28 to 507 of the family's 1533-position model. The record is from RNAcentral.